GGGAGAAAAAUGGGACAUUCCUGUAAUCUAGCUACUUGGAGGCUAGGGUGCGGAAUUUCGCGGGACCGGGAGUUCUGGCCUACAGGUGCUCAUAUUGAUCGAGCGUCCACGCUAAUCACGGAGCCGAUAUAUGCAUGACGAGUUGUUCAGGUCGACUAAGGAGGGGCGCACCGGCCCAGGGGGGAAACCCAGCAGGCAAAAGUCCCCGCGU
RNAcentral lists this signal recognition particle RNA (211 nucleotides) under Trichobilharzia regenti. Its description in RNAcentral is "Metazoan signal recognition particle RNA". It matches the Rfam family "Metazoan signal recognition particle RNA", at positions 1 to 224 of the family's 299-position model. Rfam says of the family: The signal recognition particle (SRP) is a universally conserved ribonucleoprotein. It is involved in the co-translational targeting of proteins to membranes. Lineage: Eukaryota; Metazoa; Platyhelminthes; Trematoda; Strigeidida; Schistosomatidae. The record is from Rfam by way of RNAcentral.